RNAcentral lists this ribosomal RNA (449 nucleotides) under uncultured bacterium. RNAcentral describes it as "partial 16S ribosomal RNA". It matches the Rfam family "Bacterial small subunit ribosomal RNA", at positions 354 to 796 of the family's 1533-position model. The record is from RNAcentral.
GUCGAGAAUCUUUCACAAUGGGGGCAACCCUGAUGGAGCGACGCCGCGUGGAGGAUAAGGUCUUCGGAUUGUAAACUCCUGUCAUGCGUGAACAAGGUUGCUUGGAUAAUACCUGAGCAAAUUGAUGGUAGCGCAAGAGGAAGAGACGGCUAACUCUGUGCCAGCAGCCGCGGUAAUACAGAGGUCUCAAGCGUUGUUCGGAAUCACUGGGCGUAAAGGGUGCGUAGGUGGCGUGGCAAGUCAGAUGUGAAAGCCCGGGGCUCAACCUCGGAACUGCAUCAGAUACUGCCAUGCUAGAGUACUGGAGGGGUGACUAGAAUUCUCGGUGUAGCAGUGAAAUGCGUAGAUAUCGAGAGGAAUACCAAAGGCGUAGGCAGGUCACUGGACAGUUACUGACACUGAGGCACGAAGGCCAGGGGAGCGAACGGGAUUAGAUACCCCGGUAGUCC